Molecule: ribosomal RNA, 253 nt
Filed under: uncultured bacterium
Lineage: Bacteria
Description: partial 16S ribosomal RNA
Rfam family: Bacterial small subunit ribosomal RNA
Source: RNAcentral
UACGUAGGGUGCAAGCAUUAAUCGGAUUUAUUGGGCGUAAAGGGCGCGUAGGCGGGGAUGUAAGUCAGAUGUGAAAUCCCGGGGCUCAACCCCGGAACAGCAUUUGAAACUACAUUUCUAGAGGGUAGGCGGAGAAGACGGAAUUCCACAAGUAGCGGUGAAAUGCGUAGAUAUGUGGAAGAACACCGGUGGCGAAGGCGGUUUUCUAGCUUAUACCUGACGCUAAUGCGCGAAAGCAAGGGGAGCAAACAGA